AGGUAGUAGUUUAAAUAAAACCAAUUUAUUUUGGCGGCAUUUUCUUUAUUAGAGGAACCUGUCUUUUAAUCGAUACCCCACGUUUAUUUUCACUUAUAACUAAAUCUUAUAUACCUCCAUCUUAAGGAUUAAUAUAUAAAUUUUUUCAAAAUAAAUAUUUAAUAAGUUAGGUAAAGGUGUAGACUAUUUAUAAGUUUUGAUGUGUUACAUUAAAUUAAAUUUAAGGAAAUUAAUUAAAAAAUUAAUAAGAAAGAGGAUUUAACUGUAAAUUUAAACUAUUAUUUUAAAUUGAUAAAAUUAGAAAAUGUGU
RNAcentral lists this ribosomal RNA (310 nucleotides) under Zygiella atrica. RNAcentral's name for it is "partial 12S ribosomal RNA". Lineage: Eukaryota; Metazoa; Arthropoda; Arachnida; Araneae; Araneidae. The record is from RNAcentral.